RNAcentral lists this long non-coding RNA (249 nucleotides) under Solanum tuberosum (potato). RNAcentral's name for it is "long non-coding RNA (STUB_LNC001949)". The record is from RNAcentral. Lineage: Eukaryota; Viridiplantae; Streptophyta; Magnoliopsida; Solanales; Solanaceae.
UUCAAGAACGUUGAUGAAUAAAGGCAAAUAAGUUGUUAUAAACCAAGGCACAAAAAACAUAAUAUGAUUAUGUAAUGCACAAGUUUCAUAAAACUCUUGAGAAAUAUUAUUUAAAUCUUCUUUACUAUAAGUGUCAAAAAACCAAGUUUUAAACCGGUUCCAUUUUUCAUUUAAAAAUUCGUUUUAAAUAUAUUUUCUUGCCAGUGAACCUGGACUAAAAUCAAUUUGAUGUUCACUCAUCAUUAAGCA